AUUAUUAUUAUUAUUAAUUUGUAUUAUACUAGGAGUGCUAAAAGACCAAAGUUAGAAGAAGAGGUGGAGUAUUGAGAGAGUGUGUGAGUUAUUUUAUUAUUAUAUUUUUUAGAAGGAAGAGGAAUCAGAAGAAGAAAUGUUAGAGGAAGAGAGCAAAGACCAAACCAAAGUUUACAUCUCUCUCUUUCUCUUUGGUAAUGAGUUGAAGUUACAGGCUAAGUUGUUAUCAAAGGAGAAUUGGUCAGGGGUUGGGUCUCAGUAUUGUUGGUGGGCGUGGCUCUCCCACUGGGGACGUACCCAUUUACGUAAAGAGGAUCCUACCUGAGUCAGUGUUACAGAAAGACUCAAAGAUAAAGACUGGAGAUGAACUGGUAGCAGUUAAUGAUUUAAUAAUACAUAAUGUAACUAAGGACUAUGCUACUGAAGCUCUUACUAAUGUACAGGGAACAGUGAGACUACUACUGAUACAGGACCUAUGAA
RNAcentral lists this long non-coding RNA (480 nucleotides) under Amphimedon queenslandica. Its description in RNAcentral is "uncharacterized LOC109588487". Lineage: Eukaryota; Metazoa; Porifera; Demospongiae; Haplosclerida; Niphatidae. The record is from RNAcentral.